UACGUAGGGUGCAAGCGUUAUCCGGAAUUAUUGGGCGUAAAGAGAUGCGUAGGCGGUCGGUAAAGUUUUUGGUGAAAGCCUCUGGCUCAACUAGAGAAUUGCCAAGAAUACUCACCGACUUUGAGGAAAUCAGGGGGUACUGGAACUCGUGGUGUAGUAGUAAAAUGCGUUGAUAUCACGAGGAACACCAAAGGCGAAGGCAGGUACCUGGGAUUUUCCUGACGCUAAGGCUCGAAAGCGUGGGGAGCGAAACGG
Molecule: ribosomal RNA, 255 nt
Filed under: uncultured bacterium
Lineage: Bacteria
Description: partial 16S ribosomal RNA
Rfam family: Bacterial small subunit ribosomal RNA
Source: RNAcentral